Callithrix jacchus (white-tufted-ear marmoset) is the source of this 141-nucleotide small nuclear RNA. Its record names the gene U4. It matches the Rfam family "U4 spliceosomal RNA". From Rfam's summary of the family: U4 small nuclear RNA (U4 snRNA) is a component of the major U2-dependent spliceosome. The structure of U4 snRNA from yeast and human has been reported. U4 snRNA presents a k-turn RNA motif in the 5p-SL related to recognition of Snu13 protein. Lineage: Eukaryota; Metazoa; Chordata; Mammalia; Primates; Cebidae. The record is from Ensembl.
AGCUUUGUGCAGUGGCAGUAUCGUAGCCAAUGAGGUUUAUCCGAGGUGCGAUUAUUGCUAAUUGAAAACUUUUCCCAAUACCCUGUCGUGAUGACUUGCAAUGUAGUCGGCACUGGCAAUUUUUGACAGUCUCUAUGGAGA